UACGGGGGGGGCAAGCGUUGUUCGGAAUCACUGGGCGUAAAGGGCGCGUAGGUGGCAUGAUAAGGGUGUGGUGAAAGCCCGGGGCUCAACCCCGGGUCUGCCAUGCCGACUGUCACGCUAGAGUACUGUAGGGGCAGGCGGAAUUCCGGGUGUAGCGGUGGAAUGCGUAGAGAUCCGGAGGAAGACCGGUGGCGAAGGCGGCCUGCUGGGCAGUUACUGACACUGAUGCGCGAAAGCCAGGGGAGCGAACGGG
RNAcentral lists this ribosomal RNA (253 nucleotides) under uncultured bacterium. RNAcentral describes it as "partial 16S ribosomal RNA". It matches the Rfam family "Bacterial small subunit ribosomal RNA", at positions 524 to 776 of the family's 1533-position model. The record is from RNAcentral.